CACUCAAAAACUAGCCUACCCCCCAGCAAUUUAAGGGCCCCCCCCCUAACCCCCAAUACCCUGAACAAACCAAACAAAUCAUUUUUCCCCCCUAGUAUCGGCGACAGAAAAGGAACACAGAGCAAUAGAAAAAGUACCGCAAGGGAAUGUUGAAAAAGAAAUGAAAUAACCAAUUAAGUAUUAAAAAGCAGAGCCUCGGGCCUCGUACCUUUUGCAUCAUGAUUUAGCCAGUAAACCCAAGCAAAGGGCACUUUAGUUUGACCCCCCGAAACUAGGGCGAGCUACUCCAAGACAGCCUCCACAAGGGCAAACCCGUCUCUGUGGCAAAAGAGUGGGAAGAGCUUCCAGUAACGGUAACAUGCCUACCGAGCCUAGUAAUAGCUGGGUGCCUGAGAAAUGAAUAAAAGUUCAGCCUUUGGAAUCCUUCCCCAUACGACACCCCCCGCAUACCCCUGAAGCAUCCCCAAAGAGUUAGUUAAAGGGGGUACAGCUCCUUUAACCAGAAUACAACCCUACCAGAUGGGUAAGGAUCACACGCACCAAGGGGCGAGCAUACGUGGGCCUAUAAGCAGCCACCCAAAAAGAAAGCGUCACAGCUCAAACAAAAGCCUCCCCCCAAAAUUCGGACAAUUCUAUCCAACCCCUCUGAAAUUUAUCAGGCCUCUCUAUGCAACCAUAGAAGAGACAAUGCUAAAAUAAGUAAUCGGAGGGGGCAGCCCCUCUCCUCGCACGCGUGUAACUCGGAAAUGGACUAGCCACCGAAAUUUAACGGCCCCAAUAAAAGAGGGUCAUGACCUAAGAACAGAAGAACAAGAAAAACAAUCUGCAAAAACCGUUAACCCUACACUGGAGUGCCAAAAGGAAAGACUCAAAGGGGAGGAAGGAACUCGGCAAACAUAAGCCUCGCCUGUUUACCAAAAACAUCGCCUCUUGCUAACAAAGAAUAAGAGGUCUCGCCUGCCCAGUGACUUUAUGUUUAACGGCCGCGGUAUCAUGACCGUGCAAAGGUAGCGCAAUCACUUGUCUUUUAAAUGAAGACCCGUAUGAAUGGCUCAACGAGGGCUUAACUGUCUCCUUCCCCCAGUCAAUGAAAUUGAUCUCCCCGUGCAGAAGCGGGGAUAAACCCAUAAGACGAGAAGACCCUGUGGAGUUUUAGACACAAAACAGCCCUAAGCACACCCCCGCACUAAAGCAAUGCCACAGGCCCCUGUUCCCAUGUCUUUGGUUGGGGCGACCACGGAGCAUACAAAACCUCCACGCGGAAUGGGAAUAACCCCCCUAAAACAAGGGCCCCCGCCCUAGUUACCAGAAUCUCUGACCUCAUGAUCCGGCAAAGCCGAUCAACGAACCAAAUUACCCCAGGGAUAACAGCGCAAUCCCCUUCCCGAGACCUUAUCAAAAAGGGGGUUUACGACCUCGAUGUUGGAUCAGGACAUCCUAAUGGAGCAGCUACUAUUAAGGGUUCGUUUGUUCAACGAUUAAAGUCCUACGUGAUCUGAGUUCAGACCGGAGUAAUCCAGGUCAGUUUCUAUCUAUGAUGUGGUCUUUUCUAGUACGCAAGGACCGAUAAGACGAGGCCUAUGUUGAAGACACGCCCCACCCUCACCUAAUGAACACAACUAAACUAGACAAGAGGACGCACCCCCAAUGCCCGAGAUAAUGGCAC
This 1666-nucleotide ribosomal RNA is filed under the name Brachionichthys hirsutus. Its description in RNAcentral is "16S rRNA". The stretch from base 95 to 1586 matches the Rfam family "Bacterial large subunit ribosomal RNA". Lineage: Eukaryota; Metazoa; Chordata; Actinopteri; Lophiiformes; Brachionichthyidae. The record is from RNAcentral.